GGGGGUUUAGCUCAGUUGGUAGAGCGUUCGCUUAGCACUUGUCUAAAUUGCGAAAGGUCGCGUGUUCGACUCAUGCAGUCUCCA
This is a transfer RNA of 84 nucleotides. It matches the Rfam family "tRNA". Rfam says of the family: Transfer RNA (tRNA) molecules are approximately 80 nucleotides in length. The record is from Rfam.